AGUGGACGCUGGCGGUAGGCCUAACACAUGCAAGUCGAACGGCAGCACAGUAAGAGCUUGCUCUUACGGGUGGCGAGUGGCGGACGGGUGAGGAAUACAUCGGAAUCUACUUUUUCGUGGGGGAUAACGUAGGGAAACUUACGCUAAUACCGCAUACGACCUACGGGUGAAAGCAGGGGAUCUUCGGACCUUGCGCGAUUGAAUGAGCCGAUGUCGGAUUAGCUAGUUGGCGGGGUAAAGGCCCACCAAGGCGACGAUCCGUAGCUGGUCUGAGAGGAUGAUCAGCCACACUGGAACUGAGACACGGUCCAGACUCCUACGGGAGGCAGCAGUGGGGAAUAUUGGACAAUGGGCGCAAGCCUGAUCCAGCCAUACCGCGUGGGUGGAGAAGGCCUUCGGGUUGUAAAGCCCUUUUGUUGGGAAAGAAAAGCAGCAGGUUAAUACCCCGCUGUUCUGACGGUACCCAAAGAAUAAGCACCGGCUAACUUCGUG
RNAcentral lists this ribosomal RNA (492 nucleotides) under uncultured bacterium. RNAcentral describes it as "partial 16S ribosomal RNA". It matches the Rfam family "Bacterial small subunit ribosomal RNA", at positions 29 to 507 of the family's 1533-position model. The record is from RNAcentral.